UCCUAGCCGUAAACGAUGGACACUAGUUGUUGGGGGCGUUUUGCUUUCAGCGACGUAGCUAACGCGUUAAGUGUCCCGCCUGGGGAGUACGCUCGCAAGAGUGAAACUCAAAGGAAUUGACGGGGCCCGCACAAGCGGUGGAGCAUGUGCUUUAAUUCGAUGCAACGCGAAGAACCUUACCUGGUCUUGACA
Molecule: ribosomal RNA, 192 nt
Filed under: uncultured bacterium
Lineage: Bacteria
Description: partial 16S ribosomal RNA
Rfam family: Bacterial small subunit ribosomal RNA
Source: RNAcentral